AACGAACGUUGGCGGCACGCUUAACACAUGCAAGUCGAACGAGAAAACCCGAGCUUGCUCGGGUGGACAGUGGCAGACGGCUUAGUAACGCGUGGGUAUCUACCUAGAGGUUUGGAACAACUAUUGGAAACGAUAGCUAAUACCAAAUAUUCCCUUCGGGGGAAAGAUUUAUCGCCUUUAGAUGAGCCCGCGUCGGAUUAGCUUGUUGGUAGGGUAAAGGCCUACCAAGGCUACGAUCCGUAGCUGGUCUGAGAGGAUGAUCAGCAAGAUUGGGACUGAGACACGGCCCAGACUCCUACGGGAGGCAGCAGUGGGGAAUAUUGCGCAAUGGGGGAAACCCUGACGCAGCGAUGCCGCGUGAGUGAAGAAGGCCCUAGGGUUGUAAAACUCUUUCACCGGUGAAGAUAAUGACGGUAGCCGGAGAAGAAGCCCCGGCUAACUCCGUG
This 446-nucleotide ribosomal RNA is filed under the name uncultured bacterium. RNAcentral describes it as "bacterial SSU rRNA". It matches the Rfam family "Bacterial small subunit ribosomal RNA", at positions 29 to 507 of the family's 1533-position model. The record is from RNAcentral.